This 501-nucleotide ribosomal RNA is filed under the name uncultured bacterium. Its description in RNAcentral is "partial 16S ribosomal RNA". It matches the Rfam family "Bacterial small subunit ribosomal RNA", at positions 30 to 523 of the family's 1533-position model. The record is from RNAcentral.
AUUGAACGCUGGCGGCAGGCUUAACACAUGCAAGUCGAGCGGAGAGAGGUAGCUUGCUACUGAUCUUAGCGGCGGACGGGUGAGUAAUGCUUAGGAAUCUGCCUAUUAGUGGGGGACAACAUUUCGAAAGGAAUGCUAAUACCGCAUACGUCCUACGGGAGAAAGCAGGGGAUCUUCGGACCUUGCGCUAAUAGAUGAGCCUAAGUCGGAUUAGCUAGUUGGUGGGGUAAAGGCCUACCAAGGCGACGAUCUGUAGCGGGUCUGAGAGGAUGAUCCGCCACACUGGGACUGAGACACGGCCCAGAAUCCUACGGGAGGCAGCAGUGGGGAAUAUUGGACAAUGGGGGGAACCCUGAUCCAGCCAUGCCGCGUGUGUGAAGAAGGCCUUAUGGUUGUAAAGCACUUUAAGCGAGGAGGAGGCUACUCUAGUUAAUACCUAGGGAUAGUGGACGUUACUCGCAGAAUAAGCACCGGCUAACUCUGUGCCAGCCGCCGCGGUAA